Long non-coding RNA from Helianthus annuus (common sunflower), 1284 nucleotides. RefSeq lists it as uncharacterized. NCBI's taxonomy places the organism in Eukaryota, Viridiplantae, Streptophyta, Magnoliopsida, Asterales, Asteraceae. The record is from RefSeq and is a predicted model, not a curated record. The transcript is spliced from 4 exons.
CAACUCAAUUUUUAAGACGGCAGACUAAGAGUCAUGCCUUGUUCGCUAAUAUUUCGUCUUUUCCUUCCAGUUUUGCCCUCCAAUUCAGUGUGUGUCGCCUAGAUGAUUCUUGCACAACGAAAUCUUCAACCCAACAGUCUAAAUUUAAGACAGCCAAUUGAUAAUUGAAGAAACAGUGGGAGGAAUAAUCAAUUAGGUUUGAUGAAUGAAACUGAAAGAAUCAAUACAUUCUCAAUUGAUGAUGCUAUUGCCCAGGCCAGCAAACUUUUCACUUCCCUCUUUUUCACCAUAAAUAUCUUUUCAAAGAAAAAAAAGUUAGGGUUCAAAGAAGCCCUAUCACCGUCGAUUGCCUGUUGACUGACUCGAUCGCUGGUUGGUUAGAGUUUUAUUUGGUUGAUUUCCAUGCUAUUGGAGUGGGGUUCCUUUGGGUUGCUUGUGUUUUGGUAAGGAUUGUUCUGCUUUCUAUGCAUUUCUUUUAUGGAUUUGAGUUUCACCCUUCUGAAAAAGCUGUACUGAAUUACUAUAAUAGUGAAUCUUAGAAAAUCAUUGGACUUUAUAUACUUUGAACACCUUUAGCAACAGGCUCUAUUAUCAGUAUGGCUGAGCUGGUACUUAGGGGGCACCAAGUCGUCUACUUCCCACUUGAGUUCAUACUUAACCAUGGGCUGCUUGUUACCUAACAACUGAGGGUUGUAACACGCGAGGUAACCAUCAAAGGGUCACUACACUGCUGAAAUUUUGCAUCCUAGAGGAAAAUGGUUGUGUUUUGAAGAUGCAUCAGUAGACUCUAUUUCUACCAACAAAGUCCUUGAUGAUCAAGCUUAUGUUCUCUCCUGCGAGCAACGGUAAAAUUUACGGUAGGCAAGGACAUCAGGGAUGUUAUGGAGUAUUCAAGAUCAUAUCUCCACUUUGGUAAGAUAUUUAACAGCCGGAUCUAAUGGGGGGUAAAAGCCCAAAGCUUGUGGGAUAAACUACCUACCGAGAGCCCUAAAAAUCAACCAAGAGGUACUUUCCAAGGGAGUGAGAUUCUACGGCCAUAUAUGAUCUACAAAUAUUGCCUUUCUAUGUAUCUCACACUUUUUUUUUUUUUUUUUAAAUUGGAACAUCAUUUCAUCUAUCUAUAUUGGUGGCAAUUUCGAACUAUCCGAUAACUUUUACUAAUCUGUUUGUCAUCCCGCAGCAUCGCGAGGCUUUUAAAUGAUAUGAUGAUGUUGAUAAUUUUGAUCUGGAUUGGAAAAUGUAUGAAGAGUAUUAUUGUGGAGUUGAAUUUUAGUUAAGCUAAAA